AUUGAGUUGUGAUCCAAGUGUUUGGAGUACUUGAGAACCCACCACCGCCUUGUGUAAUGCGAGAACCUGACUUAUCAGUCUCACUAAGCCAUCUUCCUUCUGAUGGAUAUAGAGAAGUUCAUUAAAAUAGCUUUAGAUCCCUUGGGUUUCAGGUUGGAAAGAUGAAGGGGACGCUCACUCUUAAGCGUUAACAGCGACUCUGUUUUCUAGCUGGUAGAGUUAAAGCUGCGAUAUUCUCUCCCUCACCACCGUUGGAUUGUUUGAUAAAUUGAGAUGCCAUAUUAAGGCUUUCAGGACUCACUUCAUUAAACUUGGUUUGAGGUGGGAAGAAGUCCAUGAUUGUGAACUCUAAACUGGGUUGGGCCUGUUUGAACUUUCCUCAAUGGGGUAUUCUUCUGGGAUCAAACCAAUCCUUUUCCAAGGAUAGCUCAUUAACAACAAUUGUGAGUGUACCGUAUAUCUGCAUGCCAUAUGUGUCCAUAAUCUGGCCGUUUGUCUAAUCG
This 503-nucleotide long non-coding RNA is filed under the name Malus domestica (apple). Its description in RNAcentral is "long non-coding RNA (MDOM_LNC010313)". The record is from RNAcentral. Lineage: Eukaryota; Viridiplantae; Streptophyta; Magnoliopsida; Rosales; Rosaceae.